UGAUUAUGCUCGCGCCGGGAGGAGGUCC
Molecule: small RNA, 28 nt
Filed under: Bombyx mori (domestic silkworm)
Lineage: Eukaryota; Metazoa; Arthropoda; Insecta; Lepidoptera; Bombycidae
Description: ovarian small RNA-33022
Source: RNAcentral